RNAcentral lists this unclassified non-coding RNA (396 nucleotides) under soil metagenome. Its description in RNAcentral is "partial contains 5.8S ribosomal RNA, internal transcribed spacer 2, and large subunit ribosomal RNA". The stretch from base 1 to 122 matches the Rfam family "5.8S ribosomal RNA", at positions 35 to 154 of the family's 154-position model. The record is from RNAcentral.
GAUGAAGAACGCAGCGAAAUGCGAUACUUGGUGUGAAUUGCAGAAUCCCGUGAACCAUCGAGUCUUUGAACGCAAGUUGCGCCCGAAGCCAUUAGGCCGAGGGCACGCCUGCCUGGGUGUCACACACCGUUACCCUCGCGCCAACGUCCAUCGUUGGCCGCGGCGCGGGGCGUGCGCUGACCUCCCGCGAGCGGGGUCUCGUGGUUGGUUGAAAAUCGAGUUCGCGGUCGAGGGUGCCGUGAUGAAAUGGUGGAUGGGCGACGCCCGAGGCCAAUCACGCGCGACUCUGUCCGGCUAGGACUCCUGGACCCCUUCGGCGUCUCCGGACGCUCUUUGGCGAGACCUCAGGUCAGGCGGGGCUACCCGCUGAGUUUAAGCAUAUCAAUAAGCGGAGGA